RNAcentral lists this long non-coding RNA (678 nucleotides) under Linum usitatissimum (flax). RNAcentral describes it as "long non-coding RNA (LUSI_LNC003414)". The record is from RNAcentral. Lineage: Eukaryota; Viridiplantae; Streptophyta; Magnoliopsida; Malpighiales; Linaceae.
CAUAAUCAAAUAGUUCUCCUCAAUUCUUCACCUCACAUCAAGAAGAACCCUCCUUCACCGACCGAAAACAUAUUGAUGUAGCAGCUCGUUGUACACGAAGCCGUCGCCCUUUCGUGUCUCUUUUCACCGACAUUUACUUCUCCCAUAUCCACUCAUCAGAAUCGACUUCCUUUCCUUAUCUCGUUGGUUUCGAGGCCAUCCUUCUUGCUAUAUACUCCACGGAGGUGAAAUCCAGGGCUGGGAAACCUGUUCUUGCUCAGAUUCCAGAUCUCUCGAAGCCGUCCCUGUAUUAAGCUCUGAAAAAAGACAAACAAGGAGCUCGUCGGUGACUUGUUGACUGAAAGGUCAAAGGUCUCUAACGACGAUAAACAUGAAACAAACCCGGGAGGAAUCAAACCAGUGAGAUUGUUUGAAGAUAGAUCGAGAUUCGCACAAUAGUUGGAGACAAAUCGUCGACGCUAGUCGCCGAAAUCUCGUCGUGGAAUUGUUGCCGGGGCGACAAGAACUUCAACUUCUUCUUCCACAAAUGUCGGUGUUUCAGCCAGAGACGUUAAACAACGCGAGGCUCUCGCAUCAAUAGAGGAGAGUGUCAAGAUCGUCGGAGAUUUUGUUGCCGGAGACAUCGAGGUGGAAAAGAGAUGGAAGAGGAAGAAAGGAUACAUAUGAGAUGAACGGUGU